AGCACCACAAGGGGUGAAGCCUGCGGUUCAAUUGGAGUCAACGCCGGGAAUCUUACCGGGGGCGACAGCAGAGUGAAGGUCAAGCUGAAGACUUUACCAGACAAGCUGAGAGGAGGUGCAUGGCCGUCGCCAGCUCGUGCCGUGAGGUGUCCUGUUAAGUCAGGUAACGAGCGAGAUCCCUACCUCUAGUUGCUACUCUUGUUCUCAGGAGCAAGGGGGCUAAUUAGAGGGACCGCCGCCGCUGAGGCGGAGGAAGGAGGGGGCUACGGCAGGUCAGUAUGCCCCGAAACCCUCGGGCCACACGCGGGCUGCAAUGGUAAGGACAAUGGGCUCCGAUCCCGAAAGGGGGAGGCAAUCCUCAAACCUUACCACAGUUAUGAUUGAGGGCUGAAACUCGCCCUCAUGAAUAUGGAAUCCCUAGUAACCGCGUGUCACUAUCGCGCGGUGAAUACGUCCCUGCUCCUUGCACACACCGCCCGUAAUCA
RNAcentral lists this ribosomal RNA (485 nucleotides) under uncultured archaeon. RNAcentral describes it as "bacterial SSU rRNA". It matches the Rfam family "Archaeal small subunit ribosomal RNA", at positions 875 to 1358 of the family's 1478-position model. The record is from RNAcentral.